CUUUCUUAGCCAGUGUUGCUUGUAACGAGUUCCCUGCAGCUCAGGGAAGGGAGCAACAUGUACUGCUUUGUUGCUUCCUGUAUAGAGAAGGCAGGAAUGAGGAAGUUCAGAGAACACUGUCCUGAGCAGCUGCCACAGGAGACCCAGCCCAAGCUCUGCAUGCAGAAAGGCACAUGGCAAGAAAUUCCCAUCCUGCACACGUGGAUGUGAUGGACACCCUCACUCCUUAAAUUUUGAGGCAACUAGACUGAAAAGGGCUCUUGCUUGAUUUAAACAAUUGAACUCUUCCUUUUGGCUCAGGCAUCUUGUUGCUUCUUGCACUGGCUUUGCCACUGACCUUGGAGAGCCGGUCAAAGUCUUGGAGGUGGAAACGAACUGCCAACUGA
This 386-nucleotide long non-coding RNA is filed under the name Homo sapiens (human). RNAcentral's name for it is "HSALNT0032506". Lineage: Eukaryota; Metazoa; Chordata; Mammalia; Primates; Hominidae. The record is from RNAcentral.